GAUGAACGCUAGCUACAGGCUUAACACAUGCAAGUCGAGGGGCAGCAGGGAGAUAGCUUGCUAUCUUUGCUGGCGACCGGCGCACGGGUGAGUAACGCGUAUCCAACCUUCCCCUUACUCGGGUCCAGCCCGUUGAAAGACGGAUUAAUCCCCGAUGUUCUCAUUUUUUGGCAUCAAUUAAUGAGCAAAGAUUUAUCGGUAAGGGAUGGGGAUGCGUAUGAUUAGCUUGUUGGCGGGGUAACGGCCCACCAAGGCUACGAUCAUUAGGGGUUCUGAGAGGAAGGUCCCCCACACUGGAACUGAGACACGGUCCAG
Molecule: ribosomal RNA, 315 nt
Filed under: uncultured bacterium
Lineage: Bacteria
Description: bacterial SSU rRNA
Rfam family: Bacterial small subunit ribosomal RNA
Source: RNAcentral